RNAcentral lists this ribosomal RNA (253 nucleotides) under uncultured bacterium. RNAcentral's name for it is "partial 16S ribosomal RNA". It matches the Rfam family "Bacterial small subunit ribosomal RNA", at positions 524 to 776 of the family's 1533-position model. The record is from RNAcentral.
UACGUAGGGUGCGAGCGUUAAUCGGAAUUACUGGGCGUAAAGCGUGCGCAGGCGGCUUCGCAAGUCAGGCGUGAAAUCCCCGGGCUUAACCUGGGAAUGGCGUCUGAAACUACGGAGCUGGAGUGUGGCAGAGGGAGGUAGAAUUCCACGUGUAGCAGUGAAAUGCGUAGAGAUGUGGAGGAACACCGAUGGCGAAGGCAGCCUUCUGGGCUAAUACUGACGCUCAGGCACGAAAGCGUGGGGAGCAAACAGG